AGUGAACGCUGGCGGUAGGCCUAACACAUGCAAGUCGAACGGCAGCACAGUAAGAGCUUGCUCUUACGGGUGGCGAGUGGCGGACGGGUGAGGAAUACAUCGGAAUCUACUUUUUCGUGGGGGAUAACGUAGGGAAACUUACGCUAAUACCGCAUACUACCUACGGGUGAAAGCAGGGGAUCUUCGGACCUUGCGCGAUUGAAUGAGCCGAUGUCGGAUUAGAUAGUUGGCGGGGUAAAGGCCCACCCAGGCGACGAUCCGUAGCUGGUCUGAGAGGAUGAUCAGCCACACUGGAACUGAGACACGGUCCAGACUCCUACGGGAGGCAGCAGUGGGGAAUAUUGGACAAUGGGCGCAAGCCUGAUCCAGCCAUACCGCGUGGGUGAAGAAGGCCUUCGGGUUGUAAAGCCCUUUUGUUGGGAAAGAAAAGCAGCAGGUUAAUACCCCGCUGUUCUGACGGUACCCAAAGAAUAAGCACCGGCUAACUUCGUG
RNAcentral lists this ribosomal RNA (492 nucleotides) under uncultured bacterium. Its description in RNAcentral is "partial 16S ribosomal RNA". It matches the Rfam family "Bacterial small subunit ribosomal RNA", at positions 29 to 507 of the family's 1533-position model. The record is from RNAcentral.